CUGCUGGCUAUCCUGGGUCUGUGAGAACAUUGACUGAGGUCCCAGGUGACAAUGGCUUGCUAUGCCCAGCUGGCGGAUGGUGAGAAGAGGCCUCAUUGAAACCACCUAUCGCAUCCAGGAUCUUUACCGCAGGACCUCUGAGCCACAGAGUGGGGUGGAUCAUAAUGACUGCUGUGUGGGAAAAGUAUAGCAGAGGGAGACUGGAGGCAGAGAAAGCAGGAAAGACACUCCUGCCAUCAUCCAGGCAAGCAAUGACGGCCUUAAGAGCAAUUCCCAAUAAACUUUGUGCAUUGUGAUUUUUAUCUCAGCAUUUGCUGCCAAGAAAACUUAGCCUGCUACAGACACCACCCCUCUUGGUGGGGCUGAAGAUCCUAGAGUGUAGAUGCUGGGUACUUACUCCAUAGAAGUCUCCAUAUAUCAGCAUUAGAAGAACAAUUGAUUUGCCCAGAGAAAAUUGGUCAUGCUGCCAAGUCCAGAUUCUGAUAUGUCUGUCUUCAAAGCCAUUUUCUUGAAAGCCAUUUGUAUACUGCUGUGUUUUCCUAUUUAAUACAUAUUUUUAUGAUUGA
This is a long non-coding RNA of Homo sapiens (human), 566 nucleotides long. NCBI's taxonomy places the organism in Eukaryota, Metazoa, Chordata, Mammalia, Primates, Hominidae. The record is from Ensembl.